UGGGGAAUAUUGGACAAUGGGGGCAACCCUGAUCCAGCAAUGCCGCGUGUGUGAAGAAGGCCUGCGGGUUGUAAAGCACUUUCAGUAGAGAAGAAAAGCUUAGGGUUAAUACCCCUGAGUCUUGACGUUACCUACAGAAGAAGCACCGGCUAACUCCGUGCCAGCAGCCGCGGUAAUACGGAGGGUGCAAGCGUUAAUCGGAAUUACUGGGCGUAAAGCGCGCGUAGGUGUUUGUGUAAGUCGGAUGUGAAAGCCCAGGGCUUAACCUUGGAAUUGCAUCCGAUAUUGCAUGACUAGAGUAUGGUAGAGGGGAGUGGAAUUUCCGGUGUAGCGGUGAAAUGCGUAGAUAUCGGAAGUAACACCAGGGGCGAAGUCGACUUCCUGGGCCAAUACUGACACUGAGGUGCAAAAGCGUGGGGAGCAAACAGGAUUAGAUACCCCCGUAGUCC
RNAcentral lists this ribosomal RNA (449 nucleotides) under uncultured prokaryote. RNAcentral's name for it is "bacterial SSU rRNA". It matches the Rfam family "Bacterial small subunit ribosomal RNA", at positions 355 to 796 of the family's 1533-position model. The record is from RNAcentral.